Molecule: non-coding RNA, 466 nt
Organism: Solanum lycopersicum (tomato)
Lineage: Eukaryota; Viridiplantae; Streptophyta; Magnoliopsida; Solanales; Solanaceae
Source: RefSeq, a predicted model, not a curated record
GCAAUCCUUGACCCUGGAGACCCGCCCCUGGCUGUUCCUCCUGCUAUGCCGUAAUAGGAUGCACCUGCCACUGAACUCCCUGCUGCUAUGGCUGCAACGUGAGUACCAUGCCCGUCGUGAUCCCUAGGUGUGCCCACAAAAGGUGUUUUUGAUUCUCCAGGUUUCUACAACAACAACCUCAAGCAAGAGCUACUAAGUUCCCGUGGACUCAGGGCUAACACACUGGAUCGGUUACUCAGGACAUUAAAUAAUACUGUUAUACCUGUUACAGCUGGAUGAUUUGAAAUCAUAACCUCUGGUGCAAGUUCCUUUCCAUCGCGAUGGGACUGGACCGAUACCUUUGUCAUUGAAACUCUCUGAUUCAGGCCAUAUUCCUAAAACAUAACACAGAAAGUUAAUAGUAAAGAAUGGACAAAGUGCAAUGAGAGUUUUUGGCAGUUCAGUUCCUAGCUACCAGUGUCGAAAA